Molecule: ribosomal RNA, 433 nt
Filed under: uncultured bacterium
Lineage: Bacteria
Description: partial 16S ribosomal RNA
Rfam family: Bacterial small subunit ribosomal RNA
Source: RNAcentral
AACGAACGCUGGCGGCAUGCCUAACACAUGCAAGUCGAACGAGACCUUCGGGUCUAGUGGCGCACGGGUGCGUAACGCGUGGGAACCUGCCCUUAGGUUCGGAAUAACUCCCCGAAAGGGGUGCUAAUACCGGAUAAUGUCUUCGGACCAAAGAUUUAUCGCCUUUGGAUGGGCCCGCGUUGGAUUCGCUAGUUGGUAGGGUAAAAGCCUACCAAGGCGACGAUCCAUAGCUGGUCUGAGAGGAUGAGCAGCCACACUGGGACUGGGACACGGCCCAGACUCCUGCGGGAGGCAGCAGUGGGGAAUAUUGGACAAUGGGCGGAAGCCUGAACCAGCAAGGCCGCGUGAGUGAUGAAGGCCUUAGGGUUGUAAAGCUCUUUUACCCGGGAUGAUAAUGACAGUACCGGGAGAAUAAGCACCGGCUAACUCCGUG